UCAUCCAAUCAGCUAAAGGCCUGAGUAGCACAAAAGGGCUGACCCUGUUGUGAGCAGAAGGGAUUUCGCCAUCAAGUAGGAUGGAUGUUGGCUUUUACCUGCUUUCUAAGGUAAAAGAAACAUCAGCUCUUCCUGGGUUUCAGUCUUGUUGGCCUUUGAACUGGCACUGUGCUGUUAAUUCUGCAGGUUCUUCAACUUGCUGACUGCCGACCUUGGGAUAUGUCAGCUUCCAUAAUCAUGAAGAUCCUACAUGCCGCGGAGCAACUAAACCUGAGAGUUACAACUACCGAGCCCAUGCCUCACGAUUACUGGAGCCCACGGGCUUAGAGCGCAUGCCUGGCAAUGUGAGAAGCCCCCACAACGAGAAGCCCGCACCGCAGCAAAGAGAGUAGCCAACUUGCUACAACUAAACAAAGCCCAUGAGCUGCAACUAGAGAAAGUCCAAGUGCAGCAAUGAAUAAAUAAUAAUAAAUCAAUCAAAAUAAAUAGCUAAAGCUCUCUUUUAUAUUUCCUUAUAAUACAUAACACAUUUCUUUAUAUAUACAAUAUAUAUAUAUGGGUCUAUGUGUGUUUUUACGUAACGCUUAUGUCUUCUAAAAUUCAUAUGUUGAAAUCCCAACUCUUAGUGUGAUGAUAUUUAAAGAUGGGACCUUUGGGAGGCAAUUGGAUCAUGAGGGCUCCUAUGGCUUUAGUACUCCUAUAAAAGAGACCCCCAAGGAUCUUCUUCAUCCAUUCUACCGUAAGGGGACACAGCAAGAAGUUAGCCAUCUAUGAACUCAGGGAAGGCUCUCACUGGACACCGAAUCUACUAGCAUCUUGCUAACAAACUUCCCAGCCUCCAAAACUGUGAGUAAUAAACUUCAGUUGUUUGUAAGGCACCCAAACCGUGUUAUUC
Long non-coding RNA from Bubalus bubalis (water buffalo), 895 nucleotides. RefSeq lists it as uncharacterized. The record is from RefSeq and is a predicted model, not a curated record. The transcript has 2 exons. Lineage: Eukaryota; Metazoa; Chordata; Mammalia; Artiodactyla; Bovidae.